RNAcentral lists this ribosomal RNA (309 nucleotides) under Triticum aestivum (bread wheat). Its description in RNAcentral is "partial small subunit ribosomal RNA". The record is from RNAcentral. Lineage: Eukaryota; Viridiplantae; Streptophyta; Magnoliopsida; Poales; Poaceae.
AUGUUCCAGGAAUUAGGUGCAAUGAAUGUGAAGUUCGAUAUUAUAACACUCAAUACCAUGAUUAAUGCCAUGUACAAGGUUCAGAGAAGAGAAGAAGCUAAAGGUUUGUUUGCUGCAAUAUCAGCCAGUGGGUUGGUGCCUGAUGCUUAUACUUACAACGUAAUGAUAAACAAUCUUCUAAAAGAAGGAUCAGUGGAAGAAGUUGACAAUAUGUUUUCAUUGAUGGAGAAGAGUGGUUGUGCUCCCAGCUCUCAUCUUGUAAAUGAUAUCAUCAGAAGGUUGUUGGGAAAAGGAAAAACGGGUUCUUGA